UCCGUGACGCCUAAAGUCUUAUAGUUUAUGGUCCUAAUCAGAGAUGGGUCUGCCCUCAAAAAGAGUGACAGAUGGAUAGACCACACCUUUGACAGCCCUUGGCUGGUUAAGACCAAAGCAAAGGGCUGCACCAAGAAAUAAUUACUUUAGACUCCCCCGUGCGGUCUCCGCUCCUUCGUCGCUCCUAUAGUAGUAAGCCUAUACCUACACUCGUUCGUAUUGACAUUGGCUGAUUGAAUCAAUGAGGGAAAGCCGGGAUUUGUGAACGUUCACUGAAAUGGGGCAGCUAUCUCAACUCCUAGGUAUAGUAGUACUCGCUCGAAUCUAAUCUAUAAGAGGAAGGCUGUCAAAUAA
This 354-nucleotide long non-coding RNA is filed under the name Panax ginseng (ginseng). Its description in RNAcentral is "long non-coding RNA (PGIN_LNC001012)". The record is from RNAcentral. Lineage: Eukaryota; Viridiplantae; Streptophyta; Magnoliopsida; Apiales; Araliaceae.